RNAcentral lists this ribosomal RNA (448 nucleotides) under uncultured bacterium. Its description in RNAcentral is "partial 16S ribosomal RNA". It matches the Rfam family "Bacterial small subunit ribosomal RNA", at positions 29 to 523 of the family's 1533-position model. The record is from RNAcentral.
AAUGAACGCUGGCGGCAGGCCUAACACAUGCAAGUCGAACGGAUCCUUCGGGAUUAGUGGCGGACGGGUGAGUAACGCGUGGGAACAUACCCUUUGGUACGGAAUAGCCUCGGGAAACUGGGAGUAAUACCGUAUGUGGUCGAGAGACGAAAGAUUUAUCGCCAAAGGAUUGGCCCGCGUUGGAUUAGGUAGUUGGUGGGGUAAUGGCCUACCAAGCCGACGAUCCAUAGCUGGUUUGAGAGGAUGAUCAGCCACACUGGGACUGAGACACGGCCCAGACUCCUACGGGAGGCAGCAGUGGGGAAUCUUAGACAAUGGGGGAAACCCUGAUCUAGCCAUGCCGCGUGAUCGAUGAAGGCCUUAGGGUUGUAAAGCUCUUUUACAGGGAUGAUAAUGACAGUACCUGGAGAAUAAGCUCCGGCUAACUCCGUGCCAGCCGCCGCGGUAA